Amphimedon queenslandica is the source of this 289-nucleotide long non-coding RNA. RefSeq lists it as uncharacterized. The transcript is spliced from 3 exons. The record is from RefSeq and is a predicted model, not a curated record. Lineage: Eukaryota; Metazoa; Porifera; Demospongiae; Haplosclerida; Niphatidae.
UUGAUAGUUCCGGAGAGGUUAUGGUAAAGCUGAAGCUAUUGCAGGCAGAGAACAAUGGGAGGCCAUUUUCGAAGAGGUUUGCUUUGUGUGGUUGUAAUCACAGGUUCCUUACACUAACAUCAGACAACAGGAUAAUGGCCAUCAGUGAGAAAGCUAAAGGCAAGGAAAUAAUGACAUUACAAACUGACGUCCCAAUAGUUAAAAAGGGAAAGAGUGAGUUUGAGAUAGAGGAAUAAGAUGCUUAUAGACACAUGGAAGCAUUUGAAACUGGUUUUGUGUGAGAUGACAA